Molecule: ribosomal RNA, 433 nt
Filed under: uncultured bacterium
Lineage: Bacteria
Description: partial 16S ribosomal RNA
Rfam family: Bacterial small subunit ribosomal RNA
Source: RNAcentral
AACGAACGCUGGCGGCAUGCCUAACACAUGCAAGUCGAACGAAGGCUUCGGCCUUAGUGGCGCACGGGUGCGUAACGCGUGGGAAUCUGCCCUUUGGUUCGGAAUAACAGCUGGAAACGGCUGCUAAUACCGGAUGAUGACGAAAGUCCAAAGAUUUAUCGCCAGAGGAUGAGCCCGCGUUGGAUUAGGUAGUUGGUGGGGUAAAGGCCUACCAAGCCGACGAUCCAUAGCUGGUCUGAGAGGAUGAUCAGCCACACUGGGACUGAGACACGGCCCAGACUCCUACGGGAGGCAGCAGUGGGGAAUAUUAGACGAUGGGCGCAAGCCUGAUCCAGCAAUGCCGCGUGAGUGAUGAAGGCCCUAGGGUUGUAAAUCUCUUUUACCCGGGAAGAUAAUGACUGUACCGGGAGAAUAAGCCCCGGCUAACUCCGUG